RNAcentral lists this unclassified non-coding RNA (355 nucleotides) under soil metagenome. Its description in RNAcentral is "partial contains 5.8S ribosomal RNA, internal transcribed spacer 2, and large subunit ribosomal RNA". The stretch from base 1 to 120 matches the Rfam family "5.8S ribosomal RNA", at positions 35 to 154 of the family's 154-position model. The record is from RNAcentral.
GAUGAAGAACGCAGCGAAAUGCGAUACGUAAUGUGAAUUGCAGAAUUCAGUGAAUCAUCGAGUCUUUGAACGCACAUUGCGCCCCCUGGUAUUCCGGGGGGCAUGCCUGUCCGAGCGUCAUUGCUGCCCUCAAGCACGGCUUGUGUGUUGGGCCCCCGCCCCCCGGGGACACGCCCCAAAGGCAGUGGCGGCGCCGCGUCGGGUCCUCGAGCGUAUGGGGCUUUGUCACCCGCUCGGGACGGACUCGUCGGCGCUGGUCUUCCUCCAGGCGACCCUUCGGGGCUCGUCUUCCUUCGGUUGACCUCGGAUCAGGUAGGGUUACCCGCUGAACUUAAGCAUAUCAAUAAGCGGAGGA